This 333-nucleotide ribosomal RNA is filed under the name uncultured eukaryote. RNAcentral's name for it is "partial 18S ribosomal RNA". It matches the Rfam family "Eukaryotic small subunit ribosomal RNA", at positions 1470 to 1796 of the family's 1831-position model. The record is from RNAcentral.
CCCUUAGAUGUUCGGGGCCGCACGCGCGCUACACUGAAGGAAUCAUCGUGUCUUAUCCUUGUCCGACAGGACCGGGUAACCCGUUGAACCUCCUUCGUGCUAGGGAUUGGGGCUUGUAAUUUUUCCCCAUGAACGAGGAAUUCCCAGUAAGCGCGAGUCAUCAGCUCGCGUUGAUUACGUCCCUGCCCUUUGUACACACCGCCCGUCGCUACUACCGAUUGAAUGGUUUAGUGAGACCUUCGGAUUGGUCCCGGCAUGGUGGGAGACUGCCUGGCCGUGGUUGCUGAGAAGAUGUUCAAACUUGAUCAUUUAGAGGAAGUAAAAGUCGUAACA